AAAAACAAGGUCAGAAAAAUGUGUCAAAACAGGGGGGUGCUUUUACGCGCAUUUGUAACGUUGCCUCUGAUUGCACAAAGAAUACAAAUACACCAAUGAAAAGACGGAUAACAAAACUAGAGACAAUUUUUUUCAUAGUUUGACAAAUGUGACGUCAAAUGUUGACUUUGUGAAGGUGAAAACUUCCGAAGUGUAAAAAAACAUAUUUAUGCAAAGCGCACGUCUAUAAAAAAUCUCAUAGGUAGACGAAUUAUCAAGCUUCAAUCUGCACUAUGAAUUGUAUUUUUUUAACAACGUGUUCAUGUCGAAAUAAAAAUGAAAAGGACCCCACCGUCUAUACCGGAAGUACUUUUCCCUAGCGAUCAAGUGACAGACAGAGCCUGCCAGCUGAGAUCGUGUUUGUCAGCAAGCGUGGAAAUACCGCCUUUCUACGAAAUAGGACCAGGGCUGACCAGCUGAAGAGAAGAAGCCAGACUACUUAUGUUUUGCAAAGUGACAGAGAUUGGUCGCUAUUGUUUCUUCAGAUUUUAUUAUUAUCAUGCAACUUGACCUGUAUGCUGUUUUUGUGAUAUAUUUUAAACAUUUAUACCUGCCAUAUAUUGACAGUUUGUGAUAGAGUUGAAAGAGCAGGACUGGAUAGCACUCUUUCAAAGAAAAUGUUUCUUCAUCAUAUGUUGUGCAUUGAUCUGCAUUGAUCUUUGCCAAAAUGGAUUCAUAUGACCCAGGAUCAUGAAAUAACUUGCAACUGAAACUGUAUUUGUUGGAAACUAUUUGCUUAAGUAUUUAUGAUCAUAUUCAAAAGACACCUAGACCACGGCCUCUAAUAUAAAUAUCAGAUAUGUUAUAUAAUGUUAUCAAUCCAUCAUGUAUGAGAUAUUGGAUAUGAUAUAAAAAGGCUUAGCUAAGAUUCUACAUGCUCCUUGGGCCAGGUUUUUGUUUUCAACCCUGUGAUAUAUAUUUUAUGUAUUAUGUAGGAGUUUCUAGAACCUUAUUUAUUCAUUUCGUUGUGGUACAUACGCUGUCUGUAGAAAGGAGCAAGAGGUCCCUAUUUUACUUGAUUUUACUUAUUUUGACUCCAGAGACUUUAGUUAACAUGAAACUUGCCUUGUAUGCAUGUAUUGUCAUUUUCUAGUCAUUAAUGCAUGUCAUACAUGG
Haliotis rubra (blacklip abalone) is the source of this 1155-nucleotide long non-coding RNA. RefSeq lists it as uncharacterized. The transcript is spliced from 2 exons. The record is from RefSeq and is a predicted model, not a curated record. Lineage: Eukaryota; Metazoa; Mollusca; Gastropoda; Lepetellida; Haliotidae.